This 465-nucleotide ribosomal RNA is filed under the name uncultured bacterium. RNAcentral describes it as "partial 16S ribosomal RNA". It matches the Rfam family "Bacterial small subunit ribosomal RNA", at positions 338 to 795 of the family's 1533-position model. The record is from RNAcentral.
CCUACGGGUGGCAGCAGUAGGGAAUUUUCCGCAAUGGACGAAAGCCUGACGGAGCAACGCCGCGUGAGUGAAGAAGGUUUUCGGAUCGUAAAACCCUGUUGUUAGAGAAGAACAAGCAUGUUAGUAACUGAACGUCCCCUGACGGUAUCUAACCAGAAAGCCACGGCUAACUACGUGCCAGCAGCCGCGGUAAUACGUAGGUGGCAAGCGUUGGCCGGAUUUAUGGGGCGUAAAGGGAGCGCAGGCGGUAUUUUAAGUCUGAUGGGAAAGCCCUAGGCUCAACCGGGGUAGGUCAUUGGAAACUGGGAGACUUGAUUGCAGAAGAGGAGAUUGGAAGUCCAGGUGUAGCGGGGAAAUGCGUAGAUAUAUGGAGGAACACCAGUGGCGAAGGCGGCUCUCUGGUCUGUAACUGACGCUGAGGUUCGAAAGCGUGGGUAGCAAACAGGAUUAGAUACCCGUGUAGUC